Molecule: long non-coding RNA, 623 nt
Filed under: Nicotiana benthamiana
Lineage: Eukaryota; Viridiplantae; Streptophyta; Magnoliopsida; Solanales; Solanaceae
Description: long non-coding RNA (NBEN_LNC020433)
Source: RNAcentral
CCUUUAUUUGGUUAUUCAAGUUUGUCUCUACUGCUGUCUAGAGGUUUUGAAUUCUUGCUUGUCGCCGGCGAUUUUUCCGGCAACCCCUGCUCUUUUCUUUCUAUUCUCUCUUCUGGUGUGUGUGGGUGUGUUCUGUUUUCUUGGAUAGGUGCCUUAUUUUCCCGGCGAGGAUUUCCGACAAGCUACAGUACUUCCGGUGACUCCCGUUCAGACUUUCGGUAGGACGCAAUAGAACUACACGUUCCGCUAAGCUUCAGGAAAACUUGGGCGCAUCAAAGCCUACUUUCAGUUCAAGUUUGUCUCAACUGCUGUUUAGAGGUAUUUGAAUUCUUGCUUUUCACCGGCGAUUUUUCCGGCAACCCCAGCUCUUUUCUUUCUAUUCUCUCUUCUGCUUUUGUGGCUGUGUGUGGGUGUGUUCUGUUUUCUUGGACAGGUACCUUAUUUUUCCGGCGAAGAUUUCCGGCAAGCUACAGUACUUCCGGCGACUCCCGUUCAGACUUUCGGCAGGACGCAAUAAAACUACACGUUCCGAUAAGCUUCAGGAAAACUUGGGCGCAUCAAAGCCUACUUUCAGGUUUUUCCACCGGGAGUUGGUACCUCCCGCUCUCUUGUUUACUUUGUAN